CACGGGGUAAAGCAGUUUGGUAGCUCGCAAGGCUCAUAACCUUGAGGUCACGGGUUCAAAUCAUGUCUCCGCAA
This 74-nucleotide transfer RNA is filed under the name Helianthus annuus (common sunflower). It matches the Rfam family "tRNA". From Rfam's summary of the family: Transfer RNA (tRNA) molecules are approximately 80 nucleotides in length. Their secondary structure includes four short double-helical elements and three loops (D, anti-codon, and T loops). The record is from RNAcentral. Lineage: Eukaryota; Viridiplantae; Streptophyta; Magnoliopsida; Asterales; Asteraceae.